GAUGAAGAACGCAGCGGAAUGCGAUAAGUAGUGUGAAUUGCAGAAUUCAGUGAAUCAUCGAAUCUUUGAACGCACAUUGCGCCCUUUGGUAUUCCUUAGGGCAUGCCUGUUCGAGCGUCAUUUAAACCUUCAAGCUCAGCUUGGUGUUGGGUGACUGUCCGCCGCCUCCGGGCGGUCGGACUCGCCUCAAAUUGAUUGGCGGCCGGUACUUUGGCUUCGAGCGCAGCAGAAACGCGAACUCGAGGCCGUCGUCCUGGCUCCCAGAAGCUAUCUUCACAAUUUUGACCUCGGAUCAGGUAGGGAUACCCGCUGAACUUAAGCAUAUCAAUAAGCGGAGGA
RNAcentral lists this unclassified non-coding RNA (339 nucleotides) under soil metagenome. Its description in RNAcentral is "partial contains 5.8S ribosomal RNA, internal transcribed spacer 2, and large subunit ribosomal RNA". The stretch from base 1 to 120 matches the Rfam family "5.8S ribosomal RNA", at positions 35 to 154 of the family's 154-position model. The record is from RNAcentral.